GAGGGUAUAGCUCAGUAGUAGAGUGCCUGCCUAGCAUGCACAAGGUCCUGGGUCCAAUCCCUAGUACCUCCA
RNAcentral lists this transfer RNA (72 nucleotides) under Camelus bactrianus (Bactrian camel). It matches the Rfam family "tRNA". From Rfam's summary of the family: Transfer RNA (tRNA) molecules are approximately 80 nucleotides in length. The record is from Rfam by way of RNAcentral. Lineage: Eukaryota; Metazoa; Chordata; Mammalia; Artiodactyla; Camelidae. RNAcentral also lists the same sequence under 3 other names.